RNAcentral lists this small nuclear RNA (107 nucleotides) under Salvator merianae (Argentine black and white tegu). Lineage: Eukaryota; Metazoa; Chordata; Lepidosauria; Squamata; Teiidae. The record is from RNAcentral.
GUACUGGCUUCGGCAGCACAUAUACUAAAAUUGGAAUGAAACAGAGAAGAUUAGAAUAGCCCUUGCACAAGGAUGACACACAAAUUUGUGAAGUGUUCCAUAUGUUU